CGAAGGGUGCAAGCGUUACUCGGAAUUACUGGGCGUAAAGCGUGCGUAGGUGGUUCGUUAAGUCUGUCGUGAAAGCCCCGGGCUCAACCUGGGAACGGCGAUGGAUACUGGCGGGCUAGAGUGCGGUAGAGGAGAGUGGAAUUCCCGGUGUAGCAGUGAAAUGCGUAGAGAUCGGGAGGAACAUCAGUUGCGAAGGCGGCUCUCUGGACCAGCACUGACACUGAGGCACGAAAGCGUGGGGAGCAAACAGGAUUAGAUACCCUGGUAGUCCACGCCCUAAACGAUGCGAACUGGACGUUGGGAGCGAAUCAGGCUCUCAGUGUCGAAGCUAACGCGUUAAAGUUCGCCGCCUGGGGAGUACGGUCGCAAGACUG
This 374-nucleotide ribosomal RNA is filed under the name uncultured organism. RNAcentral describes it as "bacterial SSU rRNA". It matches the Rfam family "Bacterial small subunit ribosomal RNA", at positions 526 to 896 of the family's 1533-position model. The record is from RNAcentral.